AGACAAGUUAAUGAUUCAGGAAGAGGAAAGACAUUUUCAGGGCAGCUCGAAUAUAAAUGAUAAACUAUGCUAUCUUUUACCCUGGGAAUAUGGCCAUUUCCUGUCAUAGAAGCACAGCAAAAGGAGGAAAACAAAUGCAAAAUUUCCUAUUGAAUGAUUCAAUUCACCUGGAAUAACAUUUGAAAUAACGAGAGCAGUCUUCCAUUACCAAAGUCCUGUGCACAUUAUUUAAACUAAAAUGUGUGUUGUGGAAUUGCAGUCCUGUCUGCUUGGAAAGAACUAAUUGCUGCCUUACAACAGAAGAGGAAAGUGGGACUCCAGCUCCCCAAGAACUCAUUCUCCAUACCUGUAAAAUGGGACCAUAGCAAGUACUGCAUCAUGAAUCAUCGUGCAGAGCAUGGAGAUACUCUUCUUGGAGGCAAACAGCAGCAGGACCCAGAGCCACUCUGGGUCCUUAGCAAAACUUUCUAAUUCUUUUUGCUUCUCA
Long non-coding RNA from Harpia harpyja (harpy eagle), 487 nucleotides. RefSeq lists it as uncharacterized. Lineage: Eukaryota; Metazoa; Chordata; Aves; Accipitriformes; Accipitridae. The transcript is spliced from 4 exons. The record is from RefSeq and is a predicted model, not a curated record.